Molecule: long non-coding RNA, 413 nt
Filed under: Panax ginseng (ginseng)
Lineage: Eukaryota; Viridiplantae; Streptophyta; Magnoliopsida; Apiales; Araliaceae
Description: long non-coding RNA (PGIN_LNC015591)
Source: RNAcentral
UGAGUAUACAAAGUCAGAAUGCAUCGAUCAAGAAUCUGGAAAAUCAAUUGGGGCAGAUAGCACAUGCGUUGAACAAUCAUCCUCAAUACACUUGGCUCUAUGACAUGAAUUCUGAGACUGAUGGUGAGCCCGAACCAAAUCUGCAACCGGAUGUGCCAAAUGAUAUAGAUGUUGAAAGAGAGGAAAGACUUGGGGACCAAGAAAAAGAGAUCGGCAAAGAUCUAACUUUGAGUACCAACAAAGAUGAGCCAAUUUCAUUAGUAUCCCAUGUGCCUCCUCCACCAAAGUUCAAGAAUCCGGGCAGUUUUGCAAAACCAUGCCCAAUUGGAAGUCAUGUCGUCGGCAAAGCUCUUGGUAACGUAAGAGCUAGUACAGUUGUGGAGUCAUGGUGGGAUGAAAAGGAGAAGAUAGAG